AUGCACGCUGGCGGCGUGCCUAAUACAUGCACGUCGAGCGAACAGACGAGGAGCUUGCUCCUCUGACGUUAGCGGCGGACGGGUGAGUAACACGUGGAUAACCUACCUAUAAGACUGGGAUAACUUCGGGAAACCGGAGCUAAUACCGGAUAAUAUAUUGAACCGCAUGGUUCAAUAGUGAAAGACGGUUUUGCUGUCACUUAUAGAUGGAUCCGCGCCGCAUUAGCUAGUUGGUAAGGUAACGGCUUACCAAGGCAACGAUGCGUAGCCGACCUGAGAGGGUGAUCGGCCACACUGGAACUGAGACACGGUCCAGACUCCUACGGGAGGCAGCAGUAGGGAAUCUUCCGCAAUGGGCGAAAGCUUGACGGAGCAACGCCGCGUGAGUGAUGAAGGUCUUCGGAUCGUAAAACUCUGUUAUUAGGGAAGAACAAAUGUGUAAGUAACUAUGCACGUCUUGACGGUACCUAAUCAGAAAGCCACGGCUAACUACGUG
This 496-nucleotide ribosomal RNA is filed under the name uncultured bacterium. RNAcentral's name for it is "partial 16S ribosomal RNA". It matches the Rfam family "Bacterial small subunit ribosomal RNA", at positions 29 to 507 of the family's 1533-position model. The record is from RNAcentral.